Molecule: long non-coding RNA, 207 nt
Filed under: Elaeis guineensis (African oil palm)
Lineage: Eukaryota; Viridiplantae; Streptophyta; Magnoliopsida; Arecales; Arecaceae
Description: long non-coding RNA (EGUI_LNC002365)
Source: RNAcentral
GGGUGUGACUAAACUAAUCCAGAUUUCUCUCAAGGACUUAUCUAUUUUCCUCUCAGCAAAGUGCUAUAACAGAUUUUACUUGUGCCUAGGUUUGGAAGUUACCUCUUCCCCCCACGGAUCAAGACUUUUUGGUGAAGGAAUUGGAUGAGGCAGACUAUCAUGUAAAGAGAUCUUAGCUCGUUUUAAUAUUAUUCUAUUGCACCAACA